AAUAAAAGAAGUGAGGAAAGAGGUUGUAAUUUUUAGCCCUAGCUCUGCUCCAACACAUAUUGGCGGGAACUUCACCGGCAAAACUCAGCCCUCAACUUUCCUCUUCUCACCGACUAAAUCCACUCUCAAACUCUCCAAAUUUUACUUCUUCGGUACCGAUAAUGGGGAAGGACGACGAAGAGAUGCGUGGAGAAAUGGAGGAGAGACUGAUAAACGAGGAGUACAAGAUUUGGAAGAAGAAUACUCCAUUUCUCUACGAUUUGGUUAUUACUCAUGCCCUAGAGUGGCCUUCACUCACUGUAGAAUGGUUGCCUGACCGGGAGGAGCCUCCUGGCAAGGAUUACUCCGUUCAGAAGAUGAUUUUGGGGACUCAUACCUCCGAGAAUGAGCCCAAUUAUCUCAUGCUCGCUCAGGUUCAGCUUCCGCUUGAGGAUUCAGAGAACGAUGCGCGUCAUUACGAUGAUGACCGUGCUGAUGCGGGUGGCUUCGGGUGUGCCAACGGCAAGGUACAAAUAAUCCAGCAAAUAAAUCACGAUGGCGAAGUCAAUAGAGCCCGUUACAUGCCUCAAAAUCCAUUUAUAAUUGCUACAAAGACUGUCAGUGCCGAAGUUUUUGUUUUUGACUAUAGUAAACAUCCAUCCAAACCACCUCUAGAUGGUACAUGCAAUCCCGAUUUGAGAUUGAGGGGUCACAAUACCGAAGGUUAUGGUUUAUCGUGGAGUAAGUUCAAGCAGGGCCAUUUACUAAGUGGUUCUGAUGAUGCACAGAUUUGUUUAUGGGACAUUAAUGCUACUCCCAAGAACAAAACCCUUGAGGCUAUGCAAAUUUUUAAGGUUCAUGAAGGUGUUGUGGAAGAUGUUGCAUGGCAUCUUAGGCAUGAAUACUUGUUUGGUUCAGUAGGUGAUGACCAAUACCUACUCGUAUGGGAUUUGCGAACUCCUUCAGCUAAUAAGCCUGUACAGUCUGUAGUUGCCCAUCAAAGUGAGGUUAAUUGCUUGGCAUUCAAUCCCUUCAAUGAGUGGGUUGUAGCCACGGGGUCAACUGAUAAGACGGUUAAGUUGUUUGAUCUACGUAAGAUCAGCACUGCACUCCAUACCUUUGACUGUCACAAAGAGGAGGUUUUCCAGGUUGGUUGGAAUCCAAAGAAUGAAACGAUCUUAGCUUCUUGUUGUCUUGGUAGGAGGCUCAUGGUUUGGGACCUUAGCAGGAUUGAUGAGGAGCAGACACCAGAGGAUGCAGAAGAUGGGCCGCCGGAAUUGCUGUUCAUUCACGGUGGUCAUACGAGUAAAAUAUCAGACUUUUCUUGGAACCCAUGCGAGGACUGGGUGGUUGCCAGUGUAGCUGAAGAUAACAUACUACAAAUCUGGCAGAUGGCUGAGAACAUCUACCAUGAUGAAGAUGAUUUGCCUGAGGAGCCUCCAAAGGCCUCUUAAUGUUUUGUUCUCUGUAUUUUAAGUAGUACUUCAAACUAUUAAAAUCUUUCAAGUUCUAAAUAUGAAGAGGCUUUUGAGGCUUUGGAUUGUGGUGAUUCACACCAUGGCCAUGGAUACGGUUGGUUAAGGAGAAACGUUGUAGAGUUCGGCGGGAUCGCGUGGAGGCUGCUUGUGUUGGAAGAGAAGAUUAAUAGUGUUGGAUGAGCAAUAGUGUGAGAGGAUGUGUUGUAGGUGUGUACUUCCUAAAACUUUAGUUCAGUGCCUUAAGUAGUAUACUUGUUCAUUAUUAGGGUUUAUAAUGAUUCACUAUUCACUAUUCACUACUAACUAUUAUGGGAUCAAGAGGCCUUGCAAAGGUAAUUUGUUUAACAACUUUAUUCUUCAACCUUC
Molecule: RNA transcript, 1823 nt
Organism: Cucumis sativus (cucumber)
Lineage: Eukaryota; Viridiplantae; Streptophyta; Magnoliopsida; Cucurbitales; Cucurbitaceae
Gene name: WD-40 repeat-containing protein MSI1
Exons: 7
Source: RefSeq, a predicted model, not a curated record